Molecule: ribosomal RNA, 492 nt
Filed under: uncultured bacterium
Lineage: Bacteria
Description: partial 16S ribosomal RNA
Rfam family: Bacterial small subunit ribosomal RNA
Source: RNAcentral
AGUGAACGCUGGCGGUAGGCCUAACACAUGCAAGUCGAACGGCAGCACAGUAAGAGCUUGCUCUUACGGGUGGCGAGUGGCGGACGGGUGAGGAAUACAUCGGAAUCUACUUUUUCGUGGGUGAUAACGUAGGGAAACUUACGCUAAUACCGCAUACUACCUACGGUUGAAAGCAGGGGAUCUUCGGACCUUGCGCGUUUGAAUGAGCCGAUGUCGGAUUAGCUAGUUGGCGGGGUAAAGGCCCACCAAGGCGACGAUCCGUAGCUGGUCUGAGAGGAUGAUCAGCCACACUGGAACUGAGACACGGUCCAGACUCCUACGGGAGGCAGCAGUGGGGAAUAUUGGACAAUGGGCGCAAGCAUGAUCCAGCCAUACCGCGUGGGUGAAGAAGGCCUUCGGGUUGUAAAGCCCUUUUGUUGGGAAAGAAAAGCAGCAGGUUAAUACCCCGCUGUUCUGACGGUACCGAAAGAAUAAGCACCGGCUAACUUCGUG